Molecule: ribosomal RNA, 419 nt
Filed under: uncultured bacterium
Lineage: Bacteria
Description: bacterial SSU rRNA
Rfam family: Bacterial small subunit ribosomal RNA
Source: RNAcentral
GAGUUUGAUCCUGGCUCAGAUUGAACGCUGGCGGCAGGCCUAACACAUGCAAGUCGAGCGGUAGAGAGAAGCCUGCUUCUCUUGAGAGCGGCGGACGGGUGAGUAAUGCCUAGGAAUCUGCCUGGUAGUGGGGGAUAACGCUCGGAAACGGACGCUAAUACCGCAUACGUCCUACGGGAGAAAGCAGGGGACCUUCGGGCCUUGCGCUAUCAGAUGAGCCUAGGUCGGAUUAGCUAGUUGGUGAGGUAAUAGGCUCACCAAGGCGACGAUCCGUAACUGGUCUGAGAGGAUGAUCAGUCACACUGGAACUGAGACACGGUCCAGACUCUACGGAGGCAGCAGUGGGGAAUAUUGGACAAUGGGCGAAAGCCUGGUCCAGCCAUGCCGCGUGUGUGAAGAAGGUCUUCGGAUUGUAAAGC